This 492-nucleotide ribosomal RNA is filed under the name uncultured Rickettsiella sp. RNAcentral's name for it is "bacterial SSU rRNA". It matches the Rfam family "Bacterial small subunit ribosomal RNA", at positions 8 to 491 of the family's 1533-position model. The record is from RNAcentral. Lineage: Bacteria; Pseudomonadati; Pseudomonadota; Gammaproteobacteria; Legionellales; Coxiellaceae.
AGAGUUUGAUCAUGGCUCAGAUUGAACGCUGGCGGCAUGCCUAACACAUGCAAGUCGAACGGUAGCAGUACUCGCUUGCGAGUAGCUGACGAGUGGCGGACGGGUGAGUAAAGCGUAGGGAUCUGCCUUUUAGAGAGGGACAACUCGUGGAAACGCGAGCUAAUACCGCAUGAAGCCUAAGGGUGAAAGCAGGGGACCGUAAAAGGCCUUGCGCUAAGAGAGGAACCUACGUCGGAUUAGCUAGUUGGUAGGGUAAAGGCCUACCAAGGCAACGAUCCGUAGCUGGUCUGAGAGGAUGGCCAGCCACACUGGGACUGAGUCACGGCCCAGACUCCUACGGGAGGCAGCAGUGGGGAAUAUUGGACAAUGGGGGGAACCCUGAUCCAGCAAUGCCGCGUGUGUGAAGAAGGCCUUCGGGUUGUAAAGCACUUUGGUUGGGGAGGAAGGGUUCAUUGUGAAUAGCGAUGAACAUGACGUACCCAAAGAAUAGCC